Molecule: ribosomal RNA, 463 nt
Filed under: Leptospira borgpetersenii serovar Ballum
Lineage: Bacteria; Pseudomonadati; Spirochaetota; Leptospiria; Leptospirales; Leptospiraceae
Description: bacterial SSU rRNA
Rfam family: Bacterial small subunit ribosomal RNA
Source: RNAcentral
GCUGACGAGUGGCGGACGGGUGAGUAAUGUCUGGGAAACUGCCUGAUGGAGGGGGAUAACUACUGGAAACGGUAGCUAAUACCGCAUAACGUCUACGGACCAAAGUGGGGGACCUUCGGGCCUCAUGCCAUCAGAUGUGCCCAGAUGGGAUUAGCUAGUAGGUGGGGUAACGGCUCACCUAGGCGACGAUCCCUAGCUGGUCUGAGAGGAUGACCAGCCACACUGGAACUGAGACACGGUCCAGACUCCUACGGGAGGCAGCAGUGGGGAAUAUUGCACAAUGGGCGCAAGCCUGAUGCAGCCAUGCCGCGUGUAUGAAGAAGGCCUUCGGGUUGUAAAGUACUUUCAGCGGGGAGGAAGGUGUUGUGGUUAAUAACCGCAGCAAUUGACGUUACCCGCAGAAGAAGCACCGGCUAACUCCGUGCCAGCAGCCGCGGUAAUACGGAGGGUGCAAGCGUUAAUC